This 210-nucleotide unclassified non-coding RNA is filed under the name Hevea brasiliensis (rubber tree). Lineage: Eukaryota; Viridiplantae; Streptophyta; Magnoliopsida; Malpighiales; Euphorbiaceae. The record is from RNAcentral.
GAAAGAAAGAAAGAAAUAAAGAAAUAAAGAAGAGAGAGAAUCGUGGAAGGUGGUGCUUUUUUUUUUUUCUUUUCUUUGAAUUUUAAAGAUAAAAUUACCUUUUUAGUCCUUUAAUUUUCCAAACUCUUCAAGUGAGUCUUUGUUAGAACAAAUUAAUAAGAUUUAAAAUAACAUAAUAACAUAAAUUUAAGACAUUAAAAAUUUCUUUCA